UGGACUGUAGCUCAAUGGUAGAGCAAUUGCCUGGAAGACAUGAGAGCCUGGGUUCAAAUCCCCAGUGCCAA
This 71-nucleotide transfer RNA is filed under the name Mesocricetus auratus (golden hamster). It matches the Rfam family "tRNA". From Rfam's summary of the family: Transfer RNA (tRNA) molecules are approximately 80 nucleotides in length. Their secondary structure includes four short double-helical elements and three loops (D, anti-codon, and T loops). Further hydrogen bonds mediate the characteristic L-shaped molecular structure. tRNAs have two regions of fundamental functional importance: the anti-codon, which is responsible for specific mRNA codon recognition, and the 3' end, to which the tRNAs corresponding amino acid is attached (by aminoacyl-tRNA synthetases). tRNAs cope with the degeneracy of the genetic code in two manners: having more than one tRNA (with a specific anti-codon) for a particular amino acid; and 'wobble' base-pairing, i.e. permitting non-standard base-pairing at the 3rd anti-codon position. The record is from Rfam by way of RNAcentral. Lineage: Eukaryota; Metazoa; Chordata; Mammalia; Rodentia; Cricetidae.